RNAcentral lists this ribosomal RNA (520 nucleotides) under uncultured Glomeromycotina. RNAcentral describes it as "SSU rRNA". It matches the Rfam family "Eukaryotic small subunit ribosomal RNA", at positions 569 to 1091 of the family's 1831-position model. Lineage: Eukaryota; Fungi; Glomeromycota. The record is from RNAcentral.
AGCAGCCGCGGUAAUUCCAGCUCCAAUAGCGUAUAUUAAAGUUGUUGCAGUUAAAAAGCUCGUGGUUGAAUUUCGGGGUUAGUAGAUUGGUCGUGCCUUCGGUAUGUACUGGUCUUACUGAUUCCUCCUUCCUGAUGAACCGUAAUGCCAUUAAUUUGGUGUUGCGGGGAAACUGGACUGUUACUUUGAAAAAAUUAGAGUGUUUAAAGCAGGCUAACGCUUGAAUACAUUAGCAUGGAAUAAUGAAAUAGGACGUUCGAUCUUAUUUUGUUGGUUUCUAGGAUUGACGUAAUGAUUAAUAGGGAUAGUUGGGGGCAUUAGUAUUCAAUUGUCAGAGGUGAAAUUCUUGGAUUUAUUGAAGACUAACUACUGCGAAAGCAUUUGCCAAGGAUGUUUUCAUUAAUCAAGAACGAAAGUUAGGGGAUCGAAGACGAGUCAGAUACCGUCGUAGUCUUAACCAUAAACUAUGCCGACUAGGGAUCGGAUGAUGUUAAUUUUUAUGACUCAUUCGGCGCCUUAC